Long non-coding RNA from Formica exsecta, 997 nucleotides. RefSeq lists it as uncharacterized. Lineage: Eukaryota; Metazoa; Arthropoda; Insecta; Hymenoptera; Formicidae. The record is from RefSeq and is a predicted model, not a curated record. The transcript has 4 exons.
CAUUCAGUAAUCGUCGACGUGAGCGGUAGGGGCUGUGAAACGGAGCGAGACAGAAUGUAUACAAGCAAACGCGCGUGGGGAAGCACGUGGCGUGCGUAUCGUUCUCUCGGUCCAUGACCUACGCCACUGUAUUAUAAUUUACGAGUAGAAUUUAUUGCACCGCGUACAACACACACAAACCCCGCUCAACUCUCGCUCUCUCUUCGUACUUGAAAUUGUAGAUGAAAAAGUGGGCAUAUCUUGAGUGUAGCGUAUCAUUUUACUGACAACGCUGACAAGAAGGCAUCUCGGCAAAAGUUUCGACAAACCCUUGGACUAACCAACCAAUUAUUUAAAAAAUACGACGCGUGAAUAGGAUUGAAGAAUGUGUGAAUAAAAUUAACGGGGAUGGUGAACAAAAAGGAAGCAGAAGCCAGUCAAUGCUUUACACGUUAAUGUGACGGUAUCCGAUGGUAAAAGCGAAGAAAAGAACAAUAUAUCCAAAGCGUUCGAAAAAGCGGAGAGUUCUUUGUUUCGCGACUUUGCGAGACGAGCCCGCAGCUCAUUUACCGGAUCCGGGAACGGAAGUCUAAUAUUCUUUACCUGAUCCGUUACAUACCCGCGCAUGGUCGGUUCAUGGUUCUAUUGGAUCUAUGUUAAACGACAAACGGUGCAAAAAAUACGUGCCAUGGAUGGAUGGAAGGAUUUAGAGGAUUAUUGAGGCAAUCUUUGAGCGUACUGACAAUGAGAGAAAAAUAUGUACGAGUCAGGUCCAUAGGCGAGACAACCCGCGGAUAACCACCGUGAGCGUGAGCACGACGGUCGACGCGCGGUCGUCGUUGUUCGUCGUGUCGUCAUUGUCGUGGGGUUAAACGAUAUGGAGAAAAUAGACGCAAAGGAAAGGAAAGGAAAGGAAAGGAAAGGAAAGGAAAAGAAAGGAAAGAAGAGGAGGGGAGGGAGGACGCGAACAAUUCGUCGGUGCGAAGAAGAGUUUGGAAGGGCAAGGAGGAUGAUCAGG